RNAcentral lists this transfer RNA (65 nucleotides) under Vallitalea guaymasensis. It matches the Rfam family "tRNA", at positions 5 to 66 of the family's 71-position model. Rfam says of the family: Transfer RNA (tRNA) molecules are approximately 80 nucleotides in length. Their secondary structure includes four short double-helical elements and three loops (D, anti-codon, and T loops). The record is from RNAcentral. Lineage: Bacteria; Bacillati; Bacillota; Clostridia; Lachnospirales; Vallitaleaceae.
CAGUGGUUCAGUUGGUUAGAACGCCGGCCUGUCACGCCGGAGGUCGAGGGUUCGAGUCCCUUCUG